Molecule: ribosomal RNA, 300 nt
Filed under: Triticum aestivum (bread wheat)
Lineage: Eukaryota; Viridiplantae; Streptophyta; Magnoliopsida; Poales; Poaceae
Description: partial small subunit ribosomal RNA
Source: RNAcentral
AUGCUGGUGUUGGAAAUGGUGACCGGAAGGAGGAAUUUGGACCCAAGUAUUGAGAGCCAGAACGACGUUUACCUCCCAGAGUGGAUCUACGAGAAAGUGAUCAAUGGGGAGGAGUUGGCGCCUACAUUGGAAACGACUCAAGAAGAGAAAGAGAAGGUGAGGCAGCUGGCUAUGGUCGCACUGUGGUGUAUCCAGUGGAACCCGAGAAACCGGCCGUCGAUGACAAAGGUCGUUAACAUGUUAACAGGGAGGUUGCAGAGUCUGCAGAUGCCCCCAAAGAAAACCGUUCGUCUCAUCUGA